AUACGUAGGGGGCGAGCGUUAUCCGGAUUUAUUGGGCGUAAAGCGUGUGUAGGCGGUUUGUUAAGUUUAAGAUUAAAGCCCGAGGCUUAACCUCGGUUCGUCUUAAAAACUGGCAGACUUGAGUGCAGUAGAGGCAAGUGGAAUUUCUAGUGUAGCGGUUAAAUGCGUAGAUAUUAGAAGGAACACCAGUGGCGAAGGCGGCUGGCUGGGCUGUUACUGACGCUGAGACACGAAAGCGUGGGGAGCAAAUAGGAUUAGAUACCCUAGUAGUCCACGCCGUAAACGAUGAGUACUAAGUGUCGGGUAACCGGUGCUGAAGUUAACACAUUAAGUACUCCGCCUGAGUAGUACGGUCGCAAGGCUGAAACUCAAAUGAAUUGACGGGG
This 386-nucleotide ribosomal RNA is filed under the name uncultured bacterium. Its description in RNAcentral is "partial 16S ribosomal RNA". It matches the Rfam family "Bacterial small subunit ribosomal RNA", at positions 523 to 918 of the family's 1533-position model. The record is from RNAcentral.